CAGUUUGUGAGCUCUGAGGAAGACACUAUGUGGAAAUGUUAGCGGUUAUGAUGCUAUUUUAAUCACCUGCUAUGAAGUAACACUGAGUAAAGUGAAGUUGACAGCAACUCGACUGGCAUCCAGAGCCUACCAGCUUCCACAUGUGGCCCACCACUGCUGCCUAACUUGGAACUGAGGGGUGUCGCCGCCUCUGGCAGCUCACACCGUGCUGUAAAGUGGCGAAAGAGGCCAUUACAUAAAGAAGUCUUACGGAAAAGCAGCUUUCUUCUGCAGGUCUUCUCUGAAAUUUGCUACCUGGGAGGGCUCCACGAUUCUGGAACUUGCUCCCCCUCUUGUUCUGAAAUAGGCUGGAUUUGGUGACCUUCCUGACAUGCUGCAAAAGGAAUCUGAUGGCUAGAGUUUCUGGAGAGAGCUGAAGAUGUUUCCAGCAAUGAUGAAGGGUUGGAAA
Molecule: long non-coding RNA, 448 nt
Organism: Mauremys reevesii (Reeves's turtle)
Lineage: Eukaryota; Metazoa; Chordata; Testudines; Geoemydidae
Exons: 3
Source: RefSeq, a predicted model, not a curated record